CCGGCCCGCCCCAGCCCCGCGCGUCGCCCGGGAGGGCGGGCUGCACUCCCUCCACGUACCUGGCUGGCAGAGCGUCUCCAGGGACAAAAGGUGCCCUGGGAUCAAAGCCGAGCCCCCGCCCCCGCGGGGAUGCUGCCCUCCGGAAGGAGGGGCGCUGCCCCCAAGGUACUCUCCCCGGGCACCCAGGGGGAGGUUCCAUUUCAACCUCCGAUGAAAAACACGGCCCUCCCGGGUACUUAGGAGGGUCUGAGGGUAAGUGCCAAGAUGGAGAAAACACGCCGGCCCCUCACAGAGUAUCUCCUGAGGAAUGAGAACUAUCUAGCGGGCAAGGAGGGCUUCCUGCAUAGCAGAGGGCACCCCCUCUGAUCCCCCAAGGCCAAGGGAAAAAAAUCACUCUUCACCGGCGCCCCUGAGCCAGGACAGGCUCCAGUGCAGCCACCCACCUUAUAAUUUUCCGCGGAUGCUGCCUUGAUCAGAUGUCUGAAGAUGACUUUAAGGACUACAAGCAAAUCUCAAGGGAAAAAUUCAGACCUUGAACAACAGCCUUGAACUUUUUCAGGGUUAGACAAGUACUCCCCAGUGGAGUUUCUGCCCUUAUUUCUUCGUUCUUCUCUUAAUUCUUCCAUAUUUUAACAGAACACAGACCUGCCGAAACGACACAGGAUGGCUCUUUGCUUUUUGUUAGUUCUCCAACCUUCCAAACCCUUGGGGCACAUGCAAGCACUGUGGAAAAACUUCAUUAAACCAAGAGUCAUCUUACUCCAGAUCCCAGACUGCUUGGGAAGUUGGACAUGCAUAUUCCCAAAGAGAACAGUGUUGGAAGAAGACAGGAGAGCAGCUCGCGGGUUGGGGGUAGAGGGUAGGAAAAGAGGGCAAGAUGGAGGACUACCACUCGAGGCCAGCCUCCACUGCCUGUUAGGGCGGUAGAACCUAAGAGCCGGUCCAAGGCAACACAAAAGACAGUGAGGCUAGGUCUUUAAUUGCAGCCAACGAUCAAGAAAGCAACUCCAUCAAAUGACACUGUCUUUUUAAAAAAAAUUUUUUUUUUUUGAGACAGAGUCUCGCUCUGUCGCCCAGGCUGGAGUGCAGUGGUGCGAUCUUGGCUCACUGCAACCUCUGCCACCCGGGUUCAAGCAGUUCUCCCUGCCUCAGCCUCCUGAGUAGCCGGGAUUACAGGCACGCGCUACCAGGCCCGGCUAAUUUUUUUUUUUUUUCUUUUUUGGUAGAAUCGAGGUUUUGCCAUGUUGGCCACGUUGGUCUCGAAUUCCUGACCUCAGUUGAUCCGCCCAUCUCAGCCUCCCAAAGUGCUGGGAUUUCAAGCGUUAGCCACCGCACUCGACCAAAUGACACUGUCUUAAAUGAUUUAAUGUCUUAAAUCGGGAAAGGAGAGUAAGAGAAAGCACUCAAUGGAGUCAGAGGUGUCUUGCAGCCUAGCUCUUUCCACAGACAAGCCACAUGGGCCUAUCAUCUAACCUUUUCAAACUUCUCCAACUGCUUCUGUGAUGGAGGGAUUUGGGCUAGAGGAUCUUUUUAUUUUAUUUUAUUUUAUUUUAUUUUGGUGACAGAGUCUCACACUGUCGCCCGGGCUGAAGUGCAGUGGCACAAUCUCAGCUUGCUGCAACCUCUUUCUCCUGGGUUCAUGCGAUUCUCCCGCCUCAGCCUCCCAACUAGCUGGGAUUACAGGCGCACACCACCACACCUGGCUUAUUUUUUGUGUUUUUAGUAGAGACGGAGUUUCACUAUGUUGGCCAGACUGGUCUCGAACUCCUGACCUCGUGAUCCGCCCACCUCGGCCUCCCAAAGUGCUGUGAUUACAGGCAUGAGCCACCGCGCCUGGCCGAUGAUCCCAUUUUUCAAAGUAGGCUGGGUGCGGUAGCUCACGCCUGUAAUCCCAGCACUCUGGGAGGCUAAGGCGGGUGGAUCACUUGAGGCCAGCAGUUCGAGACCAGCCUGGCCAACAUGGUGAAACCCCGUGUCUACUAAAAAUACAAAAAUUAGCUCGGCAUAGUGGUACGUACCUGUACUUUCAGCUACUUGGGAGGUUGAGACAGGAGAAUUUUGCUUGAACCCAGGAGGCGGAGGUUGCAGUGAGCCAAGAUGGCACCACUGCACUCCAUUCUGGGUGACAGAGUGAGACCCUGUCUCAAAAAUAAUGAUAAUAAAAUAAAAGUAAUUAUUUAAGGCUGGGAGCGGUGGCUCACGCCUGUAAUCACAGCAUUUUGGGAGGCCGAGGCGGUGGAUCAUGAGGUCAGGAGGUCGAGACCAUCCUGUCUUAACACGGUG
Molecule: long non-coding RNA, 2283 nt
Filed under: Homo sapiens (human)
Lineage: Eukaryota; Metazoa; Chordata; Mammalia; Primates; Hominidae
Description: LHRI_LNC251.1
Source: RNAcentral